GACGUAGGGUGCAAGCGUUGUCCGGAUUUACUGGGCGUAAAGAGCGCGUAGGCGGUCUGUUAAGUGAGAAGUGAAAGCUCCGGGCUCAACUCGGAAAUGGCUUCUCAUACUGGCAGACUGGAGUGAUGCAGAGGUUUGUGGAAUUCCUGGUGUAGCGGUGAAAUGCGUUGAUAUCAGGAGGAACACCCAUGGCGAAGGCAGCAAACUGGGCAUCAACUGACGCUGAGGCGCGAAAGCGUGGGUAGCAAACAGG
RNAcentral lists this ribosomal RNA (253 nucleotides) under uncultured bacterium. RNAcentral describes it as "partial 16S ribosomal RNA". It matches the Rfam family "Bacterial small subunit ribosomal RNA", at positions 524 to 776 of the family's 1533-position model. The record is from RNAcentral.